CGGAAAUGAGGUCCUUCUGGUGGGAGCAGGGUUGUAUGGAUCACUCUCAGUCCUUUCUCUGUUGUUUUUUCAUUCGCUUUGGCCUGCACGUGAUGAGAGCACCCCUGCACGUAAGGCUCGGUGAACUGCAGACAGCGCCGUGUCCUUGGAGCACUUCACGGCAAAACAACGGAUGGAAGUGAUGGAUAAAUCCACAUCAGGUGGGCUGGAAGAAGGGGCUAUAACUUGAAGUCUCCUUGGCAGGGAGACACACUGUAAAUUACCCAAGAAGGGCAAAAUCUACCCCAAAGUAUCUGUGGGAGCUGAGGAGAUCAAAGCUGGGAGGAACAGCCCACUACAUGCUUGGCUGAAGGUUCAUGCGUGCAUCUGAACACCACCAUCCUCUACCAUUAAACCACGUGUCCAGCAAACCCUGGGACUCUGUAGCCCAGGCAGCUCAGCUCAGAAAGGACAAUUUCAAAAGUGUAGUUGGUUUAAAGUGAUUACUGCAAGGAGCAGAGCUGACAAACAUGUGAAAGGACAGUUGUUGAAAAAGCACGUACUUCUUUGUCAGCAAUGAAAAGUAAAACUCGACAAGUGGAUUCAUGGGUCUAACUUAGCACUGUCAGCUUUAGGUUUCCUAAUAGGGAGGCGUGUAAACAAAAAUACUUUGCUACUGCCAACUUCUAGCACAUUUCUAAUCAAAUUAAUUCUGUUCCAGAAGAAGUAUAUAUUUUAUUUAAAAACAACAAAACCCCAAAACCUCUAGAUGUAGAUUGAAUCAAUUUUUGAAGAGAUUCAGAAAUCUCAACUGCAGACUUGUAUUAUUCAUAGCACAAGUAUGUGCCACAUCUCCUCCAAGGCUGGAAUUUAUCUGGAGAAAACAAGGUGAUGUUU
Molecule: long non-coding RNA, 876 nt
Filed under: Manacus vitellinus (golden-collared manakin)
Lineage: Eukaryota; Metazoa; Chordata; Aves; Passeriformes; Pipridae
Description: lncRNA (ENSMVIG00005006046.1)
Source: RNAcentral